CACUAGCGAAUAUUAAAGUUGUUGCAGUUAAAAAGCUCGUAGUUGGAUAUCUGAAACGACGGACCUAGCUCUUUGAUUUUUUAUCAUCGACGCUAGUGAAGCGAUUAGAACUGAUUUUAUUUGGCUUGCCAUGUAGUAUCAGCGAACUAGUCGUAUUGUUUGUUGGCUUCUUUAUUCAGGGGAACUGCUCUGCCAUUUAUUUGGUUGGGGUAAGAAACCUGAUCGUUUACUUUGAAAAAUUAGAGUGUUUAAAGCAGGCUUUUGCCAGAAUCGAUUAGCAUGGAAUAAUUUUAUAGACUUUGGCAUUGUUGGUAGCUGCCAAGCAUUUAUGCACGGAUCACAGCUAUCGCAGUAACUAUUUUGUGGGUUUUAAAGCUAAAGUAAUGAUUGAUAGGGAUAGUUGGGGGUGCUAGUAUCGUCAGGCCAGAGGUGAAAUUCUCGGAUUCUGGUGAGACUAACUUAAGCGAAAGCAUUCACCAAGGAUAUCUUCAUUAAUCAAGAACGAAA
RNAcentral lists this ribosomal RNA (507 nucleotides) under uncultured eukaryote. RNAcentral describes it as "partial 18S ribosomal RNA". It matches the Rfam family "Eukaryotic small subunit ribosomal RNA", at positions 592 to 988 of the family's 1831-position model. The record is from RNAcentral.